This 770-nucleotide ribosomal RNA is filed under the name Bacillus subtilis. RNAcentral's name for it is "bacterial SSU rRNA". It matches the Rfam family "Bacterial small subunit ribosomal RNA", at positions 62 to 814 of the family's 1533-position model. The record is from RNAcentral. Lineage: Bacteria; Bacillati; Bacillota; Bacilli; Caryophanales; Bacillaceae.
UCGAGCGGACAGAUGGGAGCUUGCUCCCUGAUGUUAGCGGCGGACGGGUGAGUAACACGUGGGUAACCUGCCUGUAAGACUGGGAUAACUCCGGGAAACCGGGGCUAAUACCGGAUGCUUGUUUGAACCGCAUGGUUCAAACAUAAAAGGUGGCUUCGGCUACCACUUACAGAUGGACCCGCGGCGCAUUAGCUAGUUGGUGAGGUAAUGGCUCACCAAGGCGACGAUGCGUAGCCGACCUGAGAGGGUGAUCGGCCACACUGGGACUGAGACACGGCCCAGACUCCUACGGGAGGCAGCAGUAGGGAAUCUUCCGCAAUGGACGAAAGUCUGACGGAGCAACGCCGCGUGAGUGAUGAAGGUUUUCGGAUCGUAAAGCUCUGUUGUUAGGGAAGAACAAGUACCGUUCGAAUAGGGCGGUACCUUGACGGUACCUAACCAGAAAGCCACGGCUAACUACGUGCCAGCAGCCGCGGUAAUACGUAGGUGGCAAGCGUUGUCCGGAAUUAUUGGGCGUAAAGGGCUCGCAGGCGGUUUCUUAAGUCUGAUGUGAAAGCCCCCGGCUCAACCGGGGAGGGUCAUUGGAAACUGGGGAACUUGAGUGCAGAAGAGGAGAGUGGAAUUCCACGUGUAGCGGUGAAAUGCGUAGAGAUGUGGAGGAACACCAGUGGCGAAGGCGACUCUCUGGUCUGUAACUGACGCUGAGGAGCGAAAGCGUGGGGAGCGAACAGGAUUAGAUACCCUGGUAGUCCACGCCGUAAACGAUGAGU